CCUUCCUGCUUCUUAAACGUUAAAAGGCAAGACACUCUACUCUGGUUGUAUUUCUAAACUUCCAUGCAGUAAGCAGAGAGCUGGGCAGAGUUCUACAUACCUCGGUGCUGACUCAGAAAGGAAGGGUUCCACAUUCCUUAAUUAGCAGUGUCAGAGGCAUCCACUUCCGCCAGUGCAGUUCCCAUUUCGCCCAACACGCAGCAUGCUCAACACCCCAGAGGUCCACAAACAGGACAACGACGUCUGAUCUUCAAGACUUCAGACAUACCCCGAGUAUUUGGAGAUCACAGUUUUAGGGAUGGCCUCUGAAAAAGAAGAAAAUAUUCAAUCUGUUUCUUCAUAUGGAGCAAACCAACUUCUGUGUCCUGCCUGUUCCUUGGUCAUUUACUUUGUUUAUUUUUUACGACAGGAUCUCAGGUAUCCCCGCUUGACCUGGAACUCACUCUGGAGCCAGAGGAUGGCUCAGAGCUUCUGAGUUUCCAGCCUUCACUGCUUGAGGAGUGGGCUUACUGGUGUGGACCAUGCUUGAUUUAUGGGGUGCUGGGAUGAAACCCAGGUCCUCAUGAAUGCUCUACACAUACUCUACCAAAUGAGCCGAAUCUCCAACCCCUCCUUGGUCUUCUUUGAAAGUGAGGCUUGACAUGAGGCAGAACAUUUGUAUUGGUUAGUCUUGGUUGGGAUUGAAAAAUGCCUGGAAGAUUAGUACAACACACCUCUGGGUGUGUGGCAGUGCGUCUGAGGCAGCUUUAAUCCACAGGCAGAUUCAUCUAUAGAGGUUCCUGGGAGGCAGUGGCACCCCUCCCUGCUGGAGCUAACACUGGUCCCUUCCUGUCUCCAUGGUGGGAAGUCCUCAGCUCCACCCCUGACCCCACCCACCCCACCCCACCCAUGGCCUAGGAAACUGCUAGAAC
RNAcentral lists this long non-coding RNA (911 nucleotides) under Cricetulus griseus (Chinese hamster). RNAcentral's name for it is "lncRNA (ENSCGRG00015042057.1)". Lineage: Eukaryota; Metazoa; Chordata; Mammalia; Rodentia; Cricetidae. The record is from RNAcentral.